GAGCUGCCUGCUGAUUGGUGGAAACUGGGGCAGCCAAACCACGUGACGGUCACCAUGGAGACAACAGCGAACCGAGCAAUGAAAGAUGUGCAAAGAAGAUCAAAACGACAUCCUUCUUGCUGAUGCACAAGAAACUACCAUCUUCAAUGUGUGCAAGCUGUGGACUGAUGGAUCACCCAUGAACCAGAAAGCUGCCCACAUGAAAUUCAAGACACUGAUUACAGCCUACAAAUCCAUCAACGGAUCUGCUCCCCGAUAUCUACAAGACCUGAUCACUUACUAUGCCCAAACAAGACUAAUAUGUUCCUCCAUCUCUGCCUGCUUGUGGUCCCAUAAUCAAAAGCGCAAAGAUUUUCCAGCCUGCCUCCAAUGUGGUGGAAUUACAUCCUGCUGUCAUUCAGAAAUGCUGAAUCUCUCUACAUCGAACAAGGGCCCCAAAACUAAUCUUUUUGGACUCGC
Molecule: long non-coding RNA, 459 nt
Organism: Scleropages formosus (Asian bonytongue)
Lineage: Eukaryota; Metazoa; Chordata; Actinopteri; Osteoglossiformes; Osteoglossidae
Exons: 3
Source: RefSeq, a predicted model, not a curated record